RNAcentral lists this ribosomal RNA (426 nucleotides) under uncultured bacterium. Its description in RNAcentral is "partial 16S ribosomal RNA". It matches the Rfam family "Bacterial small subunit ribosomal RNA", at positions 354 to 796 of the family's 1533-position model. The record is from RNAcentral.
GUCGAGAAUCUUGGGCAAUGCGCGAAAGCGUGACCCAGCAAUGCCGCGUGUAUGAUGAAGGCCCUCGGGUCGUAAAGUACUGUCUCCCGUGACGAAAUUUGACGGUAGCGGGGAAGGAAGCCACGGCUAACUACGUGCCAGCAGCCGCGGUAAUACGUAGGUGGCGAGCGUUGUUCGGAUUUAUUGGGCGUAAAGGGUCUGUAGGAGGUUUGUUAAAUACGGGGUGAAAUCCCGAAGCUCAACUUCGGAAUUGCCUUGUAGACUGACGGACUGGAGUACCGGAGAGGUAAGCGGAAUACCAGGUGUAGCGGUGGAAUGCGUAGAUAUCUGGUAGAACACCAAAAGCGAAGGCAGCUUGCUGGACGGAAACUGACUCUGAAAGACGAAAGCAUGGGGAGCAAACAGGAUUAGAAACCCGAGUAGUCC